AUUGAACGCUGGCGGCAUGCUUUACACAUGCAAGUCGAACGGUAACAGGCCUUCGGGUGCUGACGAGUGGCGAACGGGUGCGUAAUGCAUCGGAACGUACCCAGAGGUGGGGGAUAACGCAGCGCAAGCUGUGCUAAUACCGCAUGUGAUCUGAGGAUGAAAGCGGGGGACCGCGCAGCAAUGUUUGGCCUCGCGCCUUUGGAGCGGCCGAUGUCGGAUUAGCUAGUUGGUGGGGUAACGGCCUACCAAGGCGACGAUCCGUAGCUGGUCUGAGAGGACGACCAGCCACACUGGGACUGAGACACGGCCCAGACUCCUACGGGAGGCAGCAGUGGGGAAUUUUGGGCAAUGGGCGAAAGCCUGAUCCAGCAAUGCCGCGUGAGGGAAGAAGGCCUUCGGGUUGUAAACCGCUGUUGGCAGGAACGAAACGGUGUCCGCUAAUACCGGGCGCUAAUGACGGUACCUGCAGAAUAAGCACCGGCUAACUACGUG
This 492-nucleotide ribosomal RNA is filed under the name uncultured bacterium. RNAcentral describes it as "partial 16S ribosomal RNA". It matches the Rfam family "Bacterial small subunit ribosomal RNA", at positions 29 to 507 of the family's 1533-position model. The record is from RNAcentral.